RNAcentral lists this long non-coding RNA (14075 nucleotides) under Triticum aestivum (bread wheat). Its description in RNAcentral is "long non-coding RNA (TAES_LNC014966)". Lineage: Eukaryota; Viridiplantae; Streptophyta; Magnoliopsida; Poales; Poaceae. The record is from RNAcentral.
UUUUUUUUCUUUUUUGUGGCAACAGAACUUGUAUUACUCAAUUACAAUGUCCUUACAAUCACCUUGAGCUAGUUCCAAAACCUCUACUAGACCAGACCCUAGCCAAGAAGAUGCUCUUAUCAAACAAAAAGUUAUUGUAAUUUAAUCAGCUACGGAACAUAAUCGUUGAUCAGUUCCGCCGACCUAGAAGCUAGAGCAGCACGCACGUUUCGUACACGAACUAGCUCACGAUGAUGCAACUCGAAAGAACGCAAGCAGAGCAGAAUGCAUACGUGUCAAGUCUUCAACCUCGUAAUAAUAAUAAAAUUAGGGAGUGACUAAUCAUCAGACGUCUGUUUUUCAAUUUGCUUCAGGCUGUUUUUUAUUCCAAUGGAGGGUUGACACACGUCUUGCAGUGACUACUCAGUCUAAAAUGUUAGUAACAAAAAAACAUCUGUUUUCUCGCUGGGUUCAGGUCGAAAACUAUGCGCCAGCCUCUUUGGCCCUUCUGAUGGUUUGCGCAUCAUCCUUCCUUUCCCCUAAUCGGGCCGCCUGGCCAACCCGUUAACACACAAAAACGCUGGGGUAGCCCUCGAUCUUAUCCAGAUUGGGGCGACUUGGAGCCGUAGCUUACUGCCCUGGCUCUAACUAAACCCCAGCUGCAUACUUUCCCACACUAAAAUAUUCCCCAUACUACAAUUUUCCCAUGUUGUGAAUAAAAACUGAAUUCAGAGAAAUAUCCUGCUGCUGUGUACAUAUUUUACCUAGAAAAAAUGUACUGUCUAAGACUACAAAACAAAAACUGAAAAAAAAGAACUUGACCAUACAUUUGCCGUAAGGAAGAAUUAGAUACCUCAAAAAUAAGACUAAAGAAGAAACAUCUUGUCGUUCCCCUAUAGGAAAAUGUAGAAAAAAAGUCAAAAAUUAGGAUGAAGAAACAACUCUGAAGACUGAUGCUACUUGUGCUGAAGACUGAUGAAAACGCAUAUAAAACCUGACAGUACCUUCAAUAAAAAACAAUGAUGGGAACAGAGAUCUUGCCAGAAUAGCAUACGACAACAAUGAUAUUCGAAAAGUUGUUUCUUAAACUCCGCCCUCGUAAAACAACCACUCCUUGGCUGCUACAGCUGCUGGAAGCGACACAGGUGUCAGUACGCUUAUUAGCGUAGACCCACAAAAAAUGAUCUUCCUCCGAGAGUUGUAUCUUUGAGCGUCAAAAGCAUGUAUCUGUUGUGAUGGGAUUCGACACCACUGACGCCCCAUUUGGUCCAUUUCCAGCGUGUAUCUGAUCUGUAAAAAAUGAAGUGAAGCAAUAAAUAUGAAGGCCAAAUUAGUAAGAUGACAAAAUGCAGAUAAACUGAAAACUGUAUGAACAAACUUGCUAACCUACCUGGGAUUUCUUGACAAACUAAGCAACUAGGAUGGACGGCUUUAUUCGAGAAGAUCGAACAAGGACUGAAGUAGCUGAAGGUCUGAAUACUCAUAAAUAAGAAAACAAUCUAGAUAAGCAGAACAAAUUUUUCGUGGUUGUAGCCUGUGGUGGACUUAGGUCUGAAACAAUGAAUACUAAAUUAAGACUGAACAGUGAAUACUAACUAACCUACCUAUGUGGUAACACACAAAACUGAACAAAAUGACACCUAACACUGAAACUAAUAACAUAACUAAAAAUGACACUAACCCCUGAGAGUACUUAAAAUGACACUAGUGUGGGAGAACUUGUUGAGUAAGUGUGGGACAACUUUGGCUCGGAGAUGUGAAAUAUAACAUACAGGUACAAAAAUAAAGGUAAGAAAAUGAUCAGGACUCAUUGGAAAAUGACAGGGUGAGUAAGCACUAGGGACUCAGACUGAUUGACUAAAAACUGAUAGACUAAAAAAGGAAAUGAAUGCAACAAGUAAUGACUAAAUGAGAAAAAGAAAUCGAAGAAAAAGCUAAAGUUUAUAUAAUUCUAUCAGCUAAAAGGACUAAGUUUGUAUCUGAAGUAGGAAAAAACUGAAUUCAUACACAAACUAAAGAAGAAAUGAAAUGUUUAACUGAACAGGACAACUAUCAUGUUAUCAUAAAACAUACAUGGAGGUGUUGGUAAUAUCCACAUCAUAGCCUUGUAAAAAUGAGUGAUGAAUGAAAAAUGAAACAUAACAAGAACUAGAUUGUAGUGAUAAUUGAAUAGCUGACCAUGACAGUGAACUAGACUAUAGUGAUAAAGAAAAAUUUGAAACAGAACUAUAGUGAUAAAUUGAACAUAUUCAAAACUAAGUUACCACUCAGCUUUCAAAAUCCUUAGACAACCAAACCCCAAAAUUUAGACGCGAUGAGCGACGGUCAGCGCAGUCGGACCUGCAGAUUGGGUACGCCAUCCCCGUUACAUAUGUAGCAGAGAAAAAAACUAUUUGUUAGCAAAAAGAUGACUGAAAAACUAAGAACAGAGACUCACCAGAUAACUAAUUUAAACUACAGGAAUUAUAAACACAUAUCAAGUCUAACAAAUUUAAAAUGAAUGCUGAAAAUACAGGAAUAACAUCAUAAACUGAAAAUAAUAAGCUGAAUGGAAACUAACUAGUUAGAAUAAUAAAUGACUUAACUUAAAACUGAUAGACUAGAACAAACACUGACCAAAUAACUGAAGAGAACUAAAAUGAGACACUUAAGAUACUAAACAAACACCGACCAAAUAACUAAUCACUUAAUAUAUAGUUGAAGAUAACUAAAACUGAUACUUUAGAGUACUGAUGACUAAAAACUGAAAAUAAUCUAGCAAAAAAACCAGUGCAAAAAACUGAAAACCGAAAACUAAAAACAUAGGACUUACAGGAACAUAAGGUUCAAAACAGAAAUAAUCAUCUACUAAAAGACAAGACUCAUGAGAGAUAGGAGUGAAGAAAGAUGCAAAUGAUAACUAAAUAUGAUAAAAAUGAGGACUGAUACUAUUACCAAAACUAACAUAAGACUGAGAAGGCAAGCUUACAAACUGAGGAACAAAAACACCAAUGGUUGGAACAAAAUUAUAGAAAGGUACUGAAAACGGAAGACUAGACUACAAAAACACUGAAAACAAAGAUUCUAAUGACACAGAAAACUGAAGAACUAGAGAUAGAGAGAAAAGAUGGCUGAAUAAACAAGACAAAAAAGGUGGUUGAAUAGUAAGGUGACUCAAGAAACACUGAAAAGUGAAGGAUUGAAGACAGAGAAAAGAAAUCUGAAUAAAUAAACAAUUACUAAAGACUGAAGAAAGAUGACUGAAAAUAUAUAUGAAAUAGUUACUGAUGACAGGAUGAAGAAGAGAUGUAAUGGGCAAGGUAUGCAAACAGAGGAAUGAAGCAAUUCCAACAGGACAAUAGGGACCCUGACCACUAUAUGGCGCAGAGUGGAGGUGACAGUUUGACUGUCGAGCUAUUGAAUCCUACUAUAGCCUGACAAUUUGUCUAACCUCCCUGAUUGGAUAAGUGAUUUUCAGGCAUUGUAGUUAAAAAAAUAUGAAGUGAAGUUUGCAGCAGUUGAAAUUCAUUUUAAACGAUAGCCAUUGCCAGAAGAACUAAACAAAAAAGUAGGCCCUUUCGCCUUUGAGACACAUCGAUCUUUCACAACUGGCGCGCAACCUAGCCGACCCGUCUCCUGGUAGAUGUUGAUUUCUUCGCGUGUGUUCAAAGAAACUAAUUUAGGGGUGCUCUGGUUUUUUUACUGUUAGGCUGACCCCUGAAAAAAUUGACUUCGAACACACCUUAAUUGGAGGCACUGCAAUGAAAGAAAAAUCGUUGUCUACUGAAAAAUGAACACCCAUGAACCUGCACUACAGCAAAAAAGAAACCUACACCGAAAAGCAACCAGUGUUCAUGCAGGAAAAAGGCCUAAACCUACAAAAAGCAUACUGAAAAAUUAUAAUAGCCAAUACAUAACAGGUAACGGGAAAAAUUCAGAUCUGUCUGUUUUAGCGUGAAUAAAUCACGCCAUAAAAUAACCGUGAGCUUGCUCACGAAAAUCGGGCGUGAGAAGCAAAACCAUCUCCAUAAUGAAGGAAAUAUUUAAGCUGAAUAAUGUACAGAACAUGGUAAAAAAAACUGAAUAAUCUAGUACCAAAAGCUAGCUCUCAUUCACUAAACUGAAAAAUGAUAAGUACAGAAAAUAUAGAUUGUGCAUGUAACAUGUUUUCAUCAUGGAAGAUGCUACCGAAGAAAAUAGGAUUCAGAACAUUUCUUCGUCCAUGCUUACAUCAACAGAAAGCAGACGAAAAUGCCGCCUGAACCAUUACUGAACAUUGCAUAGACCCUCCCACAAAAAAAUAAAAUCACCAGCAAAUGCCUAAAAAACUCAAAUACCUACUUCCACACAUGCAACACCUGUGCAGUUUUUAAAAGAUGCAGAGGAGCCGAACCGCAGAUCUACAUCCAACACUUCGUAGUCAACUUAGGGCAUCUUCAAUGGUUGUAAGAUAGUUGUUGGUAGAUUUUGCCACAUAUGAUUUUUGAUGAUGUGUCAUACAAUAAAUGAGGGAAGAGAGAAAUAUUGUAUGUGUUGGGGAACGUUGCAGAAAACAAAAAUUUUCCUACUCGUUUCACCAAGAUCAUCUAGGAGUUCAUCUAGCAACGAGUCAUUGGAUGCAUCUACGUACCUUGUAGAUCGCGAGCGGAAGCGUUCAAAGAACGGGGAUGAUGUAGUCGAACACGACGUGAUCCAAAUCACCGAUGACCAGUGCCGAACGGACGGCACCUCCGCGUUCAACACACGUACGGAACAGCCACGUCUCCUCCUUCUUGAUCCAGCAAGGGAGGGAGGAGAGGUUGAGGGAGAUGGCACCAGCAGCAGCACGACGGCGUGGUGUUGAUGGAGCUGCAGUACUCCGGCAGAGCUUCGCUAAGCACUAUGGAGGUGGAGGAGGUGUUGGGGAGGGAGAAGGAGGCAACCAAAGGCCAGGGCGUUCAGGUAUGAAGUCCCUCCUCUCCCCCACUAUAUAUAGGGGUGCCAAGGGGGGGUGGCCGGCCCUAGGAGAUCCAAUCUCCUAGGGGGUGCGGCGGCCAAGGGGGGUUUUCCCUCCCCCCAAGGCACCUAGGAGGUGCCUUACCCUCCUAGGACUCUUGCCCCCUUAAACCCUAGGCGCAUGGGCCUAUGUGGGGCUGGUGCCCUUGGCCCAUUAGGCCAAGGCGCACCCCCUUACAGCCCAUGUGGCCCCCCGGGGCAGGUGGACCCACCCGGUGGACCCCCGGGACCCUUCCGGUGGUCCCGGUACAAUACCGAUAACCCCGAAACUUGUCCCGAUGCCCGAAACAGGACUUCCCAUAUAUAAAUCUUUACCUCCGGACCAUUCCGGAACUCCUCGUGACGUCCGGGAUCUCAUCCGGGACUCCGAACAACAUUCGGGUUACUGCAUAUACAUAUCCCUACAACCCUAGCGUAACUGAACCUUAAGUGUGUAGACCCUACGGGUUCGGGAGACAAGCAGACAUGACCGAGACGACUCUCCGGUCAAUAACCAACAGCGGGAUCUGGAUACCCAUGUUGGCUCCCGCAUGCUCCACGAUGAUCUCAUCGGAUGAACCACAAUGUCGAGGAUUCAAUCAAUCCCGUACGCUAUUCCCUUUGUCUAUCGAUAUGUUACUUGCCCGAGAUUCGAUCGUCGGUAUCCCAAUACCUCGUUCAAUCUCGUUACCGGCAAGUCACUUUACUCGUACCGUAAUGCAUGAUCCCGUGACCAGACACUUGGUCACUCUGAGCUCAUUAUGAUGAUGCAUUACCGAGUGGGCCCAGUGAUACCUCUCCGUCAUACGGAGUGACAAAUCCCAGUCUUGAUCCAUGUCACCCAACAGACACUUUCGGAGAUACCCGUAGUCUACCUUUAUGGUCACCCAGUUACGUUGUGACGUUUGGCAUACCCAAAGCACUCCUACGGUAUCCGGGAGUUACACGAUCUCAUGGUCUAAGGAAAAGAUACUUUGACAUUGCAAAACUCUAGCAAACAAACUAUACGAUCUUGUGCUAUGUUUAGGAUUGGGUCUUGUCCAUCACAUCAUUCUCCAAUGAUGUGAUCUCGUUAUCAAUGACAUCCAGUGUCCAUAGUCAGGAAACCAUGACUAUCUAUUGAUCAACGAGCUAGUCAACUAGAGGCUCACUAGGGACAGGUUGGUGUCUGUUAUUCACACAUGUAUUACGAUUUCCGGAUAACACAAUUAUAGCAUGAAUAAAGACAAUUAUCAUGAACAAGGAAAUAUAAUAAUAAUGCUUUUAUUAUUGCCUCUAGGGCAUAUUUCCAACAGUCUCCCACUUGCACUAGAGUCAAUAAUCUAGUUACAUUGUGAUGAAUCGAACACCCAUGGAAUCCUGGUGUUGAUCAUGUUUUGCUCUAGGGAGAGGUUUAGUCAACGGAUCUGCUAUAUUCAGGUCCGUAUGUACUUUACAAAUCUCUAUGUCUCCAUCUUGAACAUUUUCACGAAUGGAGUUGAAGCGACGCUUGAUGUGCCUUGUCUUCUUGUGAAACCUGGGCUCCUUGGCAAGUGCAAUAGCUCCAGUGUUGUCACAGAAGAGCUUGAUCAGCCCCGACGCAUUGGGUAUGACUCCUAGGUCGGUGAUGAACUCCUUCACCCAUAUUGCUUCAUGUGCUGCCUCCGAGGCUGCCAUGUACUCCGCUUCACACGUAGAUCCCGCCACGACGCUUUGCUUGCAACUGCACCAGCUUACUGCCCCACCAUUCAAAAUAUACACGUAUCCGGUUUGUGACUUAGAGUCAUCCAGAUCUGUGUCGAAGCUAGCAUCGACGUAACCCUUUAUGACGAGCUCUUCGUCACCUCCAUAAACGAGAAACAUUUCAUUAGUCCUUUUCAGGUACUUCAGGAUAUUCUUGACCGCUGUCCAGUGUUCCUUGCCGGGAUUACUUUGGUACCUUCCUACCAAACUGACGGCAAGGUUAACAUCAGGUCUGGUACACAGCAUGGCAUACAUAAUAGAACCUAUGGCUGAGGCAUAGGGGAUGACGCUCAUCUCUUCUAUAUCUUCUGCCGUGGUCGGACAUUAAGCUGAGCUCAAUUUCAUACCUUGUAACACAGGCAAGAACCCUUUCUUGGAUUGAUCCAUAUUGAACUUCUUCAAUAUCUUAUCAAGGUAUGUGCUUUGUGAAAGACCUAUGAGGCGUCUCGAUCUAUCUCUAUAGAUUUUGAUGCCUAAUAUAUAAGCAGCUUCUCCAAGGUCCUUCAUUGAAAAACUUUUAUUCAAGUAGGCCUUGAUGCUGUCCAAGAGUUCUAUAUCAUUUCCCAUCAAAAGUAUGUCAUCUACAUAUAAUAUGAGAAAUGCUACAGAGCUCCCACUCACUUUCUUGUAAACGCAGGCUUCUCCAUAAGUCUGUGUAAACCCAAACGCUUUGAUCAUCUCAUCAAAGCGAAUGUUCCAACUCCGAGAUGCUUGCACCCGCCCAUAAAUCGAGCGUUGGAGCUUGCACACUUUGUCAGCAUUUUUAGGAUCGACAAAACCUUCCGGCUGCAUCAUAUACAAUUCUUCCUUAAGGAAACCAUUAAGGAAUGCCGUUUUGACGUCCAUCUGCCAUAUUUCGUAAUCAUAGAAUGCGGCAAUUGCUAACAUGAUUCGGACGGACUUCAGCUUCGCUACCGGUGAGAAAGUCUCAUCGUAGUCAACCCCUUGAACUUGUCGAUAACCCUUAGCGACAAGCCGAGCUUUAUAGAUGGUCACAUUACCAUCCGCGUCUGUCUUCCUCUUAAAGAUCCAUUUAUUUUCUAUGGCUCGCCGCUCAACGGGCAAGUCAGUCAAAGUCCAUACUUUGUUUUCAUACAUGGAUCCUAUCUCGGAUUUCAUGGCUUCUAGCCAUUUGUCGGAAUCCGGUCCCGCCAUCGCUUCUUCAUAGUUCGAAGGUUCACCGUUGUCUAACAACAUGAUUUCCAAGACAGGGUUGCCGUACCACUCUGGUGCGGAACGUGUCCUUGUGGACCUUCGAAUUUCAGUAGGGGCUUGAUCAGAAGUAUCUUGAUCAUUAUCAUUAAAUUCCUCUCUAGUCGGUGCUGGCACCUCAGAAACAUUUUCUUGAGUUGCGCCAUUUUCCGGUUCAAGAGGUAAUACUUCAUCAAGCUCUACUUUCCUCCCACUUACUUCUUUCGAGAGAAACUCUUUCUCCAGAAAGGACCCAUUCUUGGCAACAAAGAUCUUGCCUUCGGAUCUGAGGUAGAAGGUGUACCCAAUAGUUUCUUUUGGGUACCCUAUGAAGACGCAUUUUUCCGAUUUGGGUUCGAGCUUUUCAGGUUGAAGUUUCUUGACAUAAGCAUCGCAUCCCCAAACUUUUAGAAACGAGAGCUUAGGUUUCUUCCCAAACCAUAAUUCAUACGGUGUCGUCUCAACGGAUUUCGACGGAGCCCUAUUUAAAGUGAAUGCGGCAGUCUCUAAAGCAUAGCCCCAAAAAGAAAGCGGUAAAUCGGUAAGAGACAUCAUAGAUCGCACCAUAUCUAACAGAGUGUGAUUACGACGUUCGGACACACCAUUACGCUGAGGUGUUCCAGGCGGCGUGAGUUGUGAAACUAUUCCACAUUUUCUUAAGUGCGUGCCAAACUCGUGACUCAAGUAUUCUCCUCCACGAUCUGAUCGUAGAAACUUGAUUUUCCUGUCACAUUGAUUUUCAACCUCACUCUGAAAUUCCUUGAACUUUUCAAAGGUUUCAGACUUGUGUUUCAUUAAGUAGAUAUACCCAUACCUACUUAAAUCAUCCGUGAGGGUGAGAACAUAACGAUAGCCACCACGAGCCUCAACACUCAUUGGACCGCACACAUCAGUAUGUAUGAUUUCCAAUAAGUCGGUUGCUCGCUCCAUUGUUCCUGAGAACGGAGUCUUGGUCAUUUUACCCAUAAGGCAUGGUUCGCACGUGUCAAAUGAUUCAUAAUCAAGAGACUCUAAAAGUCCAUCAGCAUGGAGCUUCUUCAUGCGUUUGACACCUAUGUGACCAAGGCGGCAGUGCCACAAGUAUGUGGGACUAUCAUUAUCAACCUUACUUCUUUUGGUACUCACAUUAUGAAUAUGUGUAGCAUCACGUUCGAGAUUCAUAAAGAAUAAACCAUUCACCAUAGGAGCAUGACCAUAAAACAUAUCUCUCAUAAAAAUGGAACAACCAUUAUUCUCAGAUUUAAAAGAGUAGCCAUCUCGAAUUAAACGAGAUCCCGAUACAAUGUUCAUGCUCAAAGCUGGCACUAAAUAACAAUUAUUAAGGUUUAAAACUAAUCCCGAAGGGAGAUGCAGAGGUAGCGUGCCGACGGCGAUCACAUUGACCUUGGAACCAUUCCCGACGCGCAUCGUCACCUCGUCCUUUGCUAGUUUCCGCUUAUUCCGCAGCCCCUGCUUUGAGUUACAAAUGUGAGCAACUGCACCGGUAUCAAAUACCCAGGAGCUACUAUGGGCACUAGUAAGGUACACAUCAAUUACAUGUAUAUCACAUAUACCUUUUGUUUUGCCGGCCUUCUUAUCCGCUAAGUACUUAGGGCAGUUCCGCUUCCAGUGACCGCUUCCCUUGCAAUAAAAGCACUCAGUCUCGGGCUUGGGUCCAUUCUUUGGCUUCUUCCCGGCAGCUUGCUUGCCGGGCGCGGCAACCUCCUUGCCAUCCUUCUUGAAGUUCUUUUUACCCUUGCCUUUCUUGAACUUAGUGGUUUUAUUGAUCAUCAACACUUGAUGUUCCUUCCUGACUUCUACCUCUGCUGAUUUCAGCAUAGCAAAUACUUCAGGAAUGGUCUUUUCCAUCCCCUGCAUAUUGAAGUUCAUCACAAAGCUCUUGUAGCUUGGUGGAAGCGACUGGAGGAUUCUGUCAAUGACCGCAUCAUCCGGGAGAUUAACUCCCAGCUGAGUUAAGCGGUUAUGCAACCCAGACAUAGUGAGUAUGUGCUCACUGACAGAACUGUUUUCCUCCAUCUUACAGCUGAAGAAUUUGUCGGAGACUUCAUAUCUCUCGACCCGGGCAUGAGCUUGGAAAACCAUUUUCAGCUCUUCGAACAUCUCAUAUGCUCCAUGUCUCUCAAAACGCUUUUGGAGCCCCGGCUCUAGGCUGUAAAGCAUGCCGCACUGAACGAGGGAGUAGUCAUCGGAACGUGCCUGCCAAGCGUUCAUAACGUCUUGUUCUGCAGGGAGAACGGGUGCGUCACCAAGCGGUGCUUGUAGGACAUAAUCUUUCUUGGCAGCUAUGAGGAUGAUCCUCAGGUUCCGGACCCAGUCCGUAUAGUUGCUGCCAUCGUCUUUCAGCUUAGUUUUCUCUAGGAACGCGUUGAAGUUGAGGACUACGUUGGCCAUUUGAUCUACAAGACAUAUUGUAAAAUAUUUAGACUAAGUUCAUGAUAAUUAAGUUCUACUAAUCAAAUUAUUAGUGAACUCCCACUUAGAUUAGACAUCCCUCUAGUCAUCUAAGUAUUACAUGAUCCGAGUUAAACUAGACCGUGUCCGAUCAUCACGUGAGACGGACUAGUCAACGUCGGUGAACAUCUUCAUGUUGAUCGUAUCUUCUAUACGACUCAUGCUCGACCUUUCGGUCUUCUGUGUUCCGAGGCCAUGUCUGUACAUGCUAGGCUCGUCAAGUCAACCUAAGUGUUUGCAUGUGUAAAUCUGUCUUACACCCGUUGUAUGUGAACGUCUGAAUAAAACACCCGAUCAUCACGUGAUGUUUUGAAACAGCGAACUGUCGCAACGGUGCACAGUUAGGGGGAACACUUCUUGAAAUUAGUAUGAGGGAUCAUCUUAUUUACUACCGUCGUUCUAAGUAAACAAGAUGCAAAACAUGAUAAACAUCACAUGCAAUCAAAUAAUAAACGUGACAUGAUAUGGCCAAUAUCACAUAGCUCCUUUGAUCUCCAUCUUGGGGCUCCAUGAUCAUCUUGUCACCGGCUUGACACCAUGAUCUCCAUCAUCAUGAUCUCCAUCAUCGUGUCGCCAUGAAGUUGCUCGCCAACUAUUACUUCUACUACUAUGGCUAAUGCGUUUAGCAAUAAAGUAAAGUAAUUUACAUGGCGUUUCUUGAUGACACGCAGGUCAUAUAAAAGAAUAAAGACAACUCCUAUGGCUCCUGCCGGUUGUCAUACUCAUCGACAUGCAAGUCGUGAAUCCUAUUACAAUAGCAUGAACAUCUCAUACAUCACAUAUAGAUCAUUCAUCAUUCAUCACAACUUUGGCCAUAUCAUAUCACAAACCACUUGCUGCAAAAACAAGUUAGACGUCCUCUAAUUGUUGUUGCAAGUUUUACGUGGCUGAAUUAGGGUUCUAGCAAGAACGUUUUCUUACCUACGUUAAAGCCACAACGUGAUUUGUCAACUUCUAUUUACCCUUCAUAAGGACCCUGUUCAUCGAUUCCGCUCCAACUAAAGUAGGAGAGACAGACACCCGCCAGCCACCUUAUGCAACUAGUGCAUGUUAGUCGGUGGAACCGGUCUCACGUAAGCGUACGUGAAAGGUUGGUCCGGGCCGCUUCAUCCCACAAUACCGCUGAAGCAAGAAAGGACUAGUAACGGCAAGAAAGUUGACAAAUCUACGCCCACAACAAAUUGUGUUCUACUCGCGCAAGAAGAACUACGCAUAGACCUAGCUCAUGAUGCCACUGUUGGGGAACGUUGCAGAAAACAAAAAUUUUCCUACUCGUUUCACCAAGAUCAUCUAGGAGUUCAUCUAGCAACGAGUCAUUGGAUGCAUCUACGUACCUUGUAGAUCGCGAGCGGAAGCGUUCAAAGAACGGGGAUGAUGUAGUCGAACACGACGUGAUCCAAAUCACCGAUGACCAGUGCCAAACGGACGGCACCUCCGCGUUCAACACACGUACGGAACAGCCACGUCUCCUCCUUCUUGAUCCAACAAGGGAGGGAGGAGAGGUUGAGGGAGAUGGCACCAGCAGCAGCACGACGGCGUGGUGUUGAUGGAGCUGCAGUACUCCGGCAGAGCUUCGCUAAGCACUAUGGAGGUGGAGGAGGUGUUGGGGAGGGAGAAGGAGGCAACCAAAGGCCAGGGCGUUCAGGUAUGAAGUCCCUCCUCUCCCCCACUAUAUAUAGGGGUGCCAAGGGGGGGUGGCCGGCCCUAGGAGAUCCAAUCUCCUAGGGGGUGCGGCGGCCAAGGGGGGUUUUCCCUCCCCCCAAGGCACCUAGGAGGUGCCUUACCCUCCUAGGACUCUUGCCCCCUUAAACCCUAGGCGCAUGGGCCUAUGUGGGGCUGGUGCCCUUGGCCCAUUAGGCCAAGGCGCACCCCCUUACAGCCCAUGUGGCCCCCCGGGGCAGGUGGACCCACCCGGUGGACCCCCGGGACCCUUCCGGUGGUCCCGGUACAAUACCGAUAACCCCGAAACUUGUCCCGAUGCCCGAAACAGGACUUCCCAUAUAUAAAUCUUUACCUCCGGACCAUUCCGGAACUCCUCGUGACGUCCGGGAUCUCAUCCGGGACUCCGAACAACAUUCGGGUUACUGCAUAUACAUAUCCCUACAACCCUAGCGUAACUGAACCUUAAGUGUGUAGACCCUACGGGUUCGGGAGACAAGCAGACAUGACCGAGACGACUCUCCGGUCAAUAACCAACAGCGGGAUCUGGAUACCCAUGUUGGCUCCCGCAUGCUCCACGAUGAUCUCAUCGGAUGAACCACGAUGUCGAGGAUUCAAUCAAUCCCGUACGCUAUUCCCUUUGUCUAUCGAUAUGUUACUUGCCCGAGAUUCGAUCGUCGGUAUCCCAAUACCUCGUUCAAUCUCGUUACCGGCAAGUCACUUUACUCGUACCGUAAUGCAUGAUCCCGUGACCAGACACUUGGUCACUCUGAGCUCAUUAUGAUGAUGCAUUACCGAGUGGGCCCAGUGAUACCUCUCCGUCAUACGGAGUGACAAAUCCCAGUCUUGAUCCAUGUCACCCAACAGACACUUUCGGAGAUACCCGUAGUCUACCUUUAUGGUCACCCAGUUACGUUGUGACGUUUGGCAUACCCAAAGCACUCCUACGGUAUCCGGGAGUUACACGAUCUCAUGGUCUAAGGAAAAGAUACUUUGACAUUGCAAAACUCUAGCAAACGAACUAUACGAUCUUGUGCUAUGUUUAGGAUUGGGUCUUGUCCAUCACAUCAUUCUCCAAUGAUGUGAUCUCGUUAUCAAUGACAUCCAGUGUCCAUAGUCAGGAAACCAUGACUAUCUAUUGAUCAACGAGCUAGUCAACUAGAGGCUCACUAGGGACAGGUUGGUGUCUGAUAUUCACACAUGUAUUACGAUUUCCGGAUAACACAAUUAUAGCAUGAAUAAAGACAAUUAUCAUGAACAAGGAAAUAUAAUAAUAAUGCUUUUAUUAUUGCCUCUAGGGCAUAUUUCCAACAGUAUGUACAUGAACCAACACCCUUUGCACAAGCUCCAAUGUAGAAUGAGAGAGCACCUUAUUUGUUAUUUCACAUCCUAUUGGGCAAACUACAUACAACCCAUUAGAGUUGUUGUAUAUUAAAGUGUUGGUUGAUGACAUGGAAUAUUUUAUCAAUAAACUAACAUACAAACUGUUGAAGAUGCCCUUAGUGGAAUGUUUUGUUUAGUGGUGAAAUUGACACUCAAUACUUCUUUGAACCGGAGAUCUAGAUCUAGAGAAACAACGAGCCGGACUUGGCGAUGAAAUUUGGGGAUUGACUGACACACACGCAUAGGUGGCUGCAAAAUAUUUAGGAUCGUUUCUCAUGAACCACUCAAAAUCGCAAAUGUGAACUAAGCUAUCGCAAAACGUUCCUACCCAAAAACCAGCUAAUUGAACAACCCCUGCGACAUGGCUCUAUGCCCGGCGACCACGACGAUGAACUGAAUCAAACACAGAAAGAGGCAGAUCAGAUAGAACAAACAAAAAAUUGGACAAACCUAGGACAACAGGGAGACGGAAGUAUACCUUGCGCCCCACCGACGCCGGCAAAUACUACCUCCCCCAGCAUGGGUGCUUGUUGGCGGCGAGCAUGACGGGGAGCUCCGCUGAGUUCCUCUCCAGCCCGCGGCCAUCUCUGUGACGCAUGCCUCCAGCAAUCAAGGCCCACGCUCCAUCUCCGCUUGGCCGACCAACCGCUAAUCACCGGUGAGGAGGCCCCUUCCCUCCGCUGUCUCCGCCCGCCUCGGCCAACCCCUUCCAAUCCCCUCCCCGGCUAGGACAAAGG